This 456-nucleotide ribosomal RNA is filed under the name Triticum aestivum (bread wheat). RNAcentral's name for it is "partial small subunit ribosomal RNA". Lineage: Eukaryota; Viridiplantae; Streptophyta; Magnoliopsida; Poales; Poaceae. The record is from RNAcentral.
AUGGAGGAGGGGGAGCUACCUGCUGGCAAUAUAGAUGAAGAUAGUAACAUUACCAUUUCUCUAGGUUACCCUGACAGUGCCAACUAUGUUUCCUCUGCUAAUGGUCCCUUGGCGCCACUUGAAGGAGGUAUCCUAGAUUUGAAUGAGUUAAUUGGGCCCAUUGCAGUUGGCCCAGCCCAGGAAGCCCAUGUGCCACUAGUGCCUCAUGUGAUUGAACUAGUUCAGCCUGCACUGGAGGAGGGCCCAAUAAAUGUUCUUAUCACUAUCAAUCGGCCCAGCAUGGAUCACAUCAUGGGACUUCUUCCACAACAAAUUGUCCCUCAUUAUUCCGACGUCUCUGUGGAUCCUAUGCAACUUGAAUUACUAGCCAAUGCUACUUAUCAACUAGCAGCUUUAGCAUUUCGAGCUAAUCCAGUUAGUCGGGCUGAUAUAGUGGCAGGUAGUACUUCUGCAUAG